UGGGAAUAUUGCACAAUGGGGGAAACCCUGAUGCAGCAAUCCCGCGUGAAUGAUGAAGGCCUUCGGGUCGUAAAGUUCUUUUAGCAGGGACGAAGGGAAACUUGACGGUACCUGCAGAAAAAGCACCGGCUAACUACGUGCCAGCAGCCGCGGUAAUACGUAGGGUGCAAGCGUUGCUCGGAAUUAUUGGGCGUAAAGCGCGCGUAGGCGGCUUCUUAAGUCUGGUGUGAAAUCCCGGAGCUUAACUCCGGAAGUGCACUGGAUACUGGGUCGCUAGAGGGUAAGAGAGGAAAGUGGAAUUCCUGGUGUAGGGGUGAAAUCCGUAGAUAUCAGGAGGAACAUCGGUGGCGAAGGCGGCUUUCUGGCUUACUACUGACGCUAAGGCGCGAAAGCGUGGGGAGCAAAC
Molecule: ribosomal RNA, 406 nt
Filed under: uncultured bacterium
Lineage: Bacteria
Description: bacterial SSU rRNA
Rfam family: Bacterial small subunit ribosomal RNA
Source: RNAcentral